UAGGCCGAGAGGCGCUGCAACGGACCGGACCGGUCCGCCACGCUCGGCCUGGCGUGAACGACGAGAAGGGCGCCUCCCAAAU
Molecule: non-coding RNA, 82 nt
Filed under: Kibdelosporangium phytohabitans
Lineage: Bacteria; Bacillati; Actinomycetota; Actinomycetes; Pseudonocardiales; Pseudonocardiaceae
Description: SAH sequence
Rfam family: SAH (S-adenosyl-L-homocysteine) riboswitch aptamer
Source: Rfam by way of RNAcentral